This 301-nucleotide ribosomal RNA is filed under the name uncultured bacterium. Its description in RNAcentral is "partial 16S ribosomal RNA". It matches the Rfam family "Bacterial small subunit ribosomal RNA", at positions 509 to 807 of the family's 1533-position model. The record is from RNAcentral.
CAGCCGCCGCGGGAAUACAGAGGGUGCGAGCGUUAAUCGGAUUUACUGGGCGUAAAGCGUGCGUAGGCGGCUUUUUAAGUCGGAUGUGAAAUCCCUGAGCUUAACUUAGGAAUUGCAUUCGAUACUGGGAAGCUAGAGUAUGGGAGAGGAUGGUAGAAUUCCAGGUGUAGCGGUGAAAUGCGUAGAGAUCUGGAGGAAUACCGAUGGCGAAGGCAGCCAUCUGGCCUAAUACUGACGCUGAGGUACGAAAGCAUGGGGAGCAAACAGGAUUAGAGACCCCCGUAGUCCCUGUCUCUUAUAC